RNAcentral lists this ribosomal RNA (328 nucleotides) under Bacillus cereus. RNAcentral describes it as "bacterial SSU rRNA". It matches the Rfam family "Bacterial small subunit ribosomal RNA", at positions 555 to 882 of the family's 1533-position model. The record is from RNAcentral. Lineage: Bacteria; Bacillati; Bacillota; Bacilli; Caryophanales; Bacillaceae.
UGGGCGUAAGCGCGCGCAGGUGGUUUCUUAAGUCUGAUGUGAAAGCCCACGCCUCAACCGUGGAGGGUCAUUGGAAACUGGGAGACUUGAGUGCAGAAGAGGAAAGUGGAAUUCCAUGUGUAGCGGUGAAAUGCGUAGAGAUAUGGAGGAACACCAGUGGCGAAGGCGACUUUCUGGUCUGUAACUGACACUGAGGCGCGAAAGCGUGGGGAGCAAACAGGAUUAGAUACCCUGGUAGUCCACGCCGUAAACGAUGAGUGCUAAGUGUUAGAGGGUUUCCGCCCUUUAGUGCUGAAGUUAACGCAUUAAGCACUCCGCCUGGGCAGUA